AUCUGUGUGUGAAAUGAGGUACACUAUAUUUUGGCUGGGUUUGGUUCAGCAGCAAAAUCUCUAAUCUGUGAGCUUGUAGUGUCCCUGUAGAUUUUUAUCACCUCACAGAGAAACAAUAGCAACAACCCAAGCAACAAAUACAGCAUUCAAAUAAAACCCUUGUCUGUUAUGACAUCUAGAACACGAAUUACCACAGAAAUGGGAACCAUGGGGCCAGUGAUUGCCAACAGCAAGAACAAUGAGUAAUUGUUAACUAGAUCUGGCAUAAAUCAGCAGGUGUCAGUACUGAUAACUGCAGCAACAUAAAUGGCAGGGGCACAAUCCUAUAAACUAGAUAGGCCAAAAGAUGGUGAAAAUACAGCUCAUUGAGAGAAAAAAGUGUGAUAGGAAGGUUGAAGAAAGUUUAGAAUGUUCAAAAUGUGAACAGAGAAAAGCUGAAGAGAUAAAGUGAUGGUUCUUGAAAAGGAGGAGGAAAAAUAGAAAAAAAAAGUAAAGGGAGAAGGAGAGAACAGAGAAUAUGGAUGUUAAGGGAGAAUAAAAGAGACCAAGAGAAAACAACAAACCCAAAGUAAACAAACCACACACCCUGACCCUCAAAGACACGGUGAGGGAGAAUAAUUGUCACAAAGAAUGCUAAAAAGGAGAAAAAAGACACACACACACACACACACACACACACACACAUCCACAAACCAUGCAGCACAGCAAGAGUCACCACAAAGGAAAAAGGAGGAAAAAAAUAUUCUUAAUGAAAAGUGAAAGAGCUGUCUCCACUGAGGAGGUCAGAACAGCUGACAAGGGUGACGUCACUGCUGUGCCCCGCUGUCCUUUCUGCCAUCUUUUCUUGGGCCAUGGGCUGGAAGAGAGCAGGCUGGGGUUGCUAACCGCUUGCUCUCCCGUGUGGCUCGCGGAGCUGCGGGCUGGAGUGGCUGGACGGACGGGAACACUGCUUCUAUCAGAACAACCUGAGUGUAUCUGAGACAAUAAGCCAUCACCUAUAGGACAGAAAGAACACAAGGCUGAAUUCCAGGGCUAAUACUGACCCCAAUUAAAUGGAAGGGGCGACAACAAAACUAUAGAUAUGCAGGUUGAAAUCCAGUACUCCGACUUCAAGUGUUCCCAAGAAGGAUCUCUGAGGAAUCUCAGCUGACCCCAACAGAGAACACUGCUUCUAUCAGAACAACCUGAGUGUAUCUGAGACAAUAAGCCAUCACCUAUAGGACAGAAAGAACACAAGGCUGAAUUCCAGGGCUAAUACUGACCCCAAUUAAAUGGAAGGGGCGACAACAAAACUAUAGAUAUGCAGGUUGAAAUCCAGUACUCCGACUUCAAGUGUUCCCAAGAAGGAUCUCUGAGGAAUCUCAGCUGACCCCAACAGAGGUAGGAACAGGGUCAGUUUUGACCAACUUGGUAUUAAGCAUGUGGUGACAGAGUGUGGCCAAAGCACAGCCACACAUGGACAUUAGGAAAAGGCAUGGUCUCUUUAAGGUAACUUGAGGUGCACAUUUGUGUCAGUCCUCCCCAAAUCAGUGAAACUGCAAGGUUGGGAAGGAAGGGUCUUUACACAGGAGUGCCUGAUAAAUAUCAAAAUGAGCAGUCA
This is a long non-coding RNA of Marmota monax (woodchuck), 1600 nucleotides long. RefSeq lists it as uncharacterized. The record is from RefSeq and is a predicted model, not a curated record. The transcript is spliced from 3 exons. Lineage: Eukaryota; Metazoa; Chordata; Mammalia; Rodentia; Sciuridae.